ACGAACGCUGGCGGCGUGCUUAACACAUGCAAGUGGAGCGACGAACCAGGGCUUGCCCUGGGGCAGAGCCGCGAACGGGUGAGUAACACGUGGGUAACGUGCCCCGAUGACUGGGACAACCCGGGGAAACCCGGGCUAAUACCGGAUGUGCCCCCUCACAUCAGUGAGGUGUGUAAAGGAAGCUUCGGCCUCCGCAUCGGGAUCGGCCCGCGGCCCAUUAGCUUGUUGGUGAGGUAACGGCUCACCAAGGCUGCGAUGGGUAGCUGGUCUGAGAGGACGAUCAGCCACACUGGGACUGAGACACGGCCCAGACUCCUACGGGAGGCAGCAGUGGGGAAUCUUGCGCAAUGCGCGAAAGCGUGACGCAGCAACGCCGCGUGGGGGAAGACGGCCUUCGGGUUGUAAACCCCUUUCAGUUGGGACGAAGGUCGGGCGGUUAACAGCCGUUCCGGCUGACGGUACCUUCACAAGAAGCCCCGGCUAACUACGUG
Molecule: ribosomal RNA, 491 nt
Filed under: uncultured bacterium
Lineage: Bacteria
Description: partial 16S ribosomal RNA
Rfam family: Bacterial small subunit ribosomal RNA
Source: RNAcentral